UACGUAGGCAGCGAGCGUUGUUCGGAGUUACUGGGCGUAAAGGGUGUGUAGGCGGUUGUUUAAGUUUGGUGUGAAAUCUCCCGGCUCAACUGGGAGGGUGCGCCGAAUACUGAGAGGCUAGAGUGUGGGAGAGGAAAGUGGAAUUCCUGGUGUAGCGGUGAAAUGCGUAGAUAUCAGGAGGAACACCGGUGGUGUAAACGGCUUUCUGGACCAUAACUGACGCUGAGGCACGAAAGCGUGGGUAGCAAACAGG
This 253-nucleotide ribosomal RNA is filed under the name uncultured bacterium. Its description in RNAcentral is "partial 16S ribosomal RNA". It matches the Rfam family "Bacterial small subunit ribosomal RNA", at positions 524 to 776 of the family's 1533-position model. The record is from RNAcentral.